GACGAACGCUGGCGGCGUGCUUAACACAUGCAAGUCGAACGGAAAGGCCCUGCUUUUGUGGGGUGCUCGAGUGGCGAACGGGUGAGUAACACGUGAGUAACCUGCCCUUGACUUUGGGAUAACUUCAGGAAACUGGGGCUAAUACCGGAUAGGAGCUCCUGCUGCAUGGUGGGGGUUGGAAAGUUUCGGCGGUUGGGGAUGGACUCGCGGCUUAUCAGCUUGUUGGUGGGGUAGUGGCUUACCAAGGCUUUGACGGGUAGCCGGCCUGAGAGGGUGACCGGCCACAUUGGGACUGAGAGACGGCCCAGACUCCUACGGGAGGCAGCAGUGGGGAAUAUUGCACAAUGGGCGGAAGCCUGAUGCAGCAACGCCGCGUGCGGGAUGACGGCCUUCGGGUGGUAAACCGCUUUCGCCUGUGACGAAGCGUGAGUGACGGUAAUGGGUAAAGAAGCACCGGCUAACUACGU
RNAcentral lists this ribosomal RNA (467 nucleotides) under uncultured bacterium. Its description in RNAcentral is "partial 16S ribosomal RNA". It matches the Rfam family "Bacterial small subunit ribosomal RNA", at positions 28 to 506 of the family's 1533-position model. The record is from RNAcentral.